This 22-nucleotide microRNA is filed under the name Gadus morhua (Atlantic cod). Its description in RNAcentral is "gmo-miR-22b-5p". Its record names the gene gmo-miR-22b-5p. Lineage: Eukaryota; Metazoa; Chordata; Actinopteri; Gadiformes; Gadidae. The record is from miRBase by way of RNAcentral.
CGUUCUUCACUAGCUAGCUUUA